RNAcentral lists this long non-coding RNA (1376 nucleotides) under Vitis vinifera (wine grape). Its description in RNAcentral is "long non-coding RNA (VVIN_LNC000292)". The record is from RNAcentral. Lineage: Eukaryota; Viridiplantae; Streptophyta; Magnoliopsida; Vitales; Vitaceae.
ACUAUGAAAAGUCAUUAGGAUCAAGUCAUAUUAUCUUUCUUACUGCCUGAUGAAUUGAAGCAAUUUCGGUUUGUCGGGUUUUCCAAAUAACAAUAAGAGCAUGCACUAGACUUUUAAUGUAACACAUUCAUUAGGAUUUUUUACUUCUACUGGACAGAUAAAAGCAUGCAAUGUUGGUGCAAAGAAAAGAUGAGCUGCCAUGCAAUGGGUUCAAGUGUACAAAGAUGAUAUUUUAUUAAAUGAAUUUAGUAUUUAAUUUCUGAAAGUUCUGACAGAAGAAUAUCUAAAAUAGAUGGUUAAAACUCCUUACACAGAGCAGAACUUUAAGUCUGCUCUGAUAUUUUAAUUAGGAGGAGAUCAAACAGCUCUAGUCUUUUUACUCAAGCGAUGUGUAGUGAGAACCUAUCAAAUAAAACUUGAACCGUAGUCCUGACCUAUAGAAGAGGCUUUCUACAAGUAAGAAGAACAUUCAUGAAGUCCGUAUACCUUCAUGACAACAGAACUAGUCUUCAUCAAGUCAUUAAAAUCACAUGACUUGCACAGAAUCAUACUUUAUUAGAGGGAUCAUGUGCUUAGUCCUCGACUUCGUUUUUGAGAUACUACAAAUUAUUAUUGAUUCACUUGAUGUAGAGGUAUGAGGGCUUCAACCUUCCAACACCAAAUGAAAACUCAUGCGUGGAGGAAAAAAGUGUCAAGAUUAGAGGGGCCAGAACACAGGGAUCAAGAAGGUGAUCACUAGCCUAACAUUGAAAGUCUCAGGGGGGGAGUGGCUGUAGACAUCUCCCCUAGAGACUUGCGACUGAAUUCUAUCUUCACCGGGGUUGGAGGUAGUGUUCAUGGCUGCCUUUGGACCAGAGGAAAAAGGAAAGAAUAAAGGGACACUAAUGCUAGUGUCAUAUAAGUUAUCUAGUAGAUGCAAAAUAGGGUCACCUACAGUUGUAAUCAAGACAACUUUGCCAUGAAUGAUCUAUAUGCUAAUCCGCCUCAAAUGCUGAAUCAUGUCCGAAAUGUGAUUGCUGCAAGAACAGGUACAAUGUUGCCACAUUCAAUAGAAAGCUGUCAUGAACUGCAUAAUCAGCUGACAUGCAGAUGAAAGCUUCAAGCCUAAGUUCAGAAUUCAUAAAUUAAUUUACUGAAGUUGGAACUGGCUACACACAUUGUUCGAGUUACCUUAGCUUGAUGGAAUCUUUCAAGCACGCGGUGAUAUUGUUCACGUACUUCGGGAGACUCCACCAUUCAUCACUACCUUCACAACUAAAUUUCGUAAGUUCAAUCUAAUUUAGUAAAUUGCUAUGGUAGCAUUGCUGCAUUGUGUAGCUCUCAUUCCUUUCUUCUUUCUUUUGAUGUCACAAACAACGCAUUUGAUGGCCAGAUUC